AUGUACCACGCGUACACUCCGGUUCUGAGCGCGCCGUCCGCGCCCACCUGACAGCUGCUCGCUACGUUUUGUUAGCC
RNAcentral lists this small RNA (77 nucleotides) under Xanthomonas citri. RNAcentral's name for it is "sX9 sRNA". It matches the Rfam family "Xanthomonas sRNA sX9". RNAcentral also lists the same sequence under 9 other names. The record is from RNAcentral. Lineage: Bacteria; Pseudomonadati; Pseudomonadota; Gammaproteobacteria; Lysobacterales; Lysobacteraceae.